UUGACCUCAAAUCAGGUAGGACUACCCGCUGAACUUAAGCAUAUCAAUAAGCGGAGGAAAAGAAACUAACAAGGAUUCCCCUAGUAACUGCGAGUGAAGAGGGAAAAGCUCAAAUUUAAAAUCUGGCAGUUUCACUGUCCGAGUGUAAU
This 149-nucleotide ribosomal RNA is filed under the name Desarmillaria tabescens. RNAcentral describes it as "partial large subunit ribosomal RNA". It matches the Rfam family "Eukaryotic large subunit ribosomal RNA", at positions 1 to 148 of the family's 3401-position model. Lineage: Eukaryota; Fungi; Basidiomycota; Agaricomycetes; Agaricales; Physalacriaceae. The record is from RNAcentral.